This 510-nucleotide ribosomal RNA is filed under the name uncultured Glomus. RNAcentral's name for it is "SSU rRNA". It matches the Rfam family "Eukaryotic small subunit ribosomal RNA", at positions 569 to 1080 of the family's 1831-position model. Lineage: Eukaryota; Fungi; Glomeromycota; Glomeromycetes; Glomerales; Glomeraceae. The record is from RNAcentral.
AGCAGCCGCGGUAAUUCCAGCUCCAAUAGCGUAUAUUAAAGUUGUUGCAGUUAAAAAGCUCGUAGUUGAAUUUCGGGAUCAUCAGGUUGGUCGUGCCUCUGGUAUGUACUGAUCUCGCUGGUUCCUCCUUCUUGAAGAACCGUAAUGGCAUUAAUUUGUUGUUGCGGGGAAACAGGACUGUUACUUUGAAAAAAUUAGAGUGUUUAAAGCAGGCAAUCGCUUGAAUACAUUAGCAUGGAAUAAUGAAAUAGGACGUUCGAUCCUAUUUUGUUGGUUUCUAGGAUUGACGUAAUGAUUAAUAGGGAUAGUUGGGGGCAUUAGUAUUCAAUUGUCAGAGGUGAAAUUCUUGGAUUUAUUGAAGACUAACUACUGCGAAAGCAUUUGCCAAGGAUGUUUUCAUUAAUCAAGAACGAAAGUUAGGGGAUCGAAGACGAUCAGAUACCGUCGUAGUCUUAACCAUAAACUAUGCCGACUAGGGAUCGGAUGAUGUUAAUUUUUAAUGACUUCAUU